CCGGGACUGAAUUGAAAAAGAAACCGCACUAACGUGUUUUAGCAGCGAGCGAAAUUUGUUGAGCUAUUUCACAGCUUAUCAUUUUUGCUUCUAAUCAAGACAGUCACGACAGUUCCAAACUAGAUGUUGUUAAAACUCUGGACAUAAUGUGAACCAUCUAUUUAACACAGUAAUUAAAUGCCAGGUGUCCACACUGAGACAGCUGUGUGCAGACAAAACAGGGUCACAGCAUCUCCUAGAGGAUUCUGAAAAGCUCUGUAAAGCUGAGAAAGAUAAUCAAAGAACAGUUCUCAAGGUUGCAGAGAGGAAGCAACUGGAGGCUUGCUAUCAUCACUGUAUCUAGCUUUUUCUGGCUCCCAAAGAGAAGACAGGAAACCUCAAGGGGACAAAUGGAGAUGAAAAGGGCCUGUGACUGCCCACCAUACAGGCUCUUUUUUGCUCUGGAGCUGGG
Long non-coding RNA from Carlito syrichta (Philippine tarsier), 451 nucleotides. RefSeq lists it as uncharacterized. NCBI's taxonomy places the organism in Eukaryota, Metazoa, Chordata, Mammalia, Primates, Tarsiidae. The record is from RefSeq and is a predicted model, not a curated record. The transcript has 3 exons.